CAGGAAGGGUCCUUUUUCCCCUUGCUCCUCCAGCAGCAUAAUGUGAUCCACCAGCAAGAAGGGAUGCCAAUAAGGCGUCCGAUAAGAUAAGUCUUAUAAAAUAUAUAGAUUUAUGAUAAUUAAAACUGAGCUAGCAGAUGAGAAUCCUAGUCAUUGGCCAAGCAGCUUUGAACUUAAAACAAGUUUCUACGAUGACAGCAAGGCGUAAGUCCGUGUAGCAUAUUCCAGUUGGUGUUCUGAAGAGUACUUCUGUGAUAUCAUUCGCUUCACAAGAAGAAUUCAAAUCUUUUCCUGUGGAAGUGCUGAACUCAUUAUCCUAAUGAGCAAAUGUCAUGAAGCUGGGAAAGUCACAGGAAAAUGAAAGUAGCCAUGUGCCAUGAUCUGGGAAACUUUCUUUGAACUCUUAAAUACAGUUUAGUAUAAAGUACAUCUCAUUUGAAGUAUAUCAAAACCAGGAAAUGCAAAUUGUCAGAGCUGAAGCAGAUCUUUAUAUAGCAGGGAAAGAAGUUUAAAUAAAAAGUGUUGCAAUGAUCUUUAUGUUUAAAAGAUUUUGAAGUAUAUUAAAAUAUAAAUCCCAGAAUUAAAUGAUAGACUAAAUGGGGGAAUUAUAGAAACAUUUAUUUUAAUAGCAAAUGAUUAAUAUUUGUGUAUAUAGAAGAUAGUUUUUCUGUUGGUUUGUUUUUGUUGUUGUUAGAUUUUAAUAUGAUCUGCAAGAUGAUGUGCAAUGUUCCUCAUUGAACUGGGGCAUGAGAACUGCACUGUUCUGUUCUGUUCAGUUCAGUAUUUUCUUAAAGCACAAUUUAUUGCCAACUUCUUAGUUUCAGGGAGAUUGCCAGGCACUGAAUAUAUAAAACAAAUCAGAUAAGGCACUUGACCUUGUGAAACUCACAAUGUAGUAGAGAUGUGAACUUAAAAUUAUCAUUAUACUAGACUAUAGUUCCAGAAGCAAACACAACACAGCAGACCAAAAGCAGACAAGGGGUCUAAAGAGGGAAAAGAAUUAACAUAGACAAGCAAUGGAUGUUGCUCUCAUCCCAGGUAGAGAAGCCAGAGAUGUAGGGCAAUUAUGGUCAUGAGUUUAGUCCCUUCUAUUGUUGAGUUUCCAUCAACACUCAGUAGUUGCAAAUGUAGUAGAGAAAGUUGGUAGCAUUGAUUAAAGGAGCCAAGGAAACCAUAGAAAUUACUACAGUGCUAUACAAGGAGUAGUUCAGAUGUUCAACAUGGGAACAGAUGGGGAAGGAAAUAAGUCAGACUAAAUAAAACAGAUUAAGAAGGUAUCCGUGAUGUUUGAAGGUGUUAAUGGCAUAGGAAAGGAACUGUGCAGAUAGGGAUUGCCAAUUAGAAAGUCAGAUACAUUCCAAGGUUCAAGGUGAUGGUAAUGUAAGCUUGAUUUGAAAAUUUCAAGGCACUUAGGUCAUCCAGACUUCUUGACUUUCAUCUAAAUUGGUUAGAUCCUUUGUGAUGUAAAUUUCUGGUUCAAAGGCCUUGUUAUCUAGAAUUCUUGAUUGAAUAGCUUUUCUGCUUCAUUGCCAACAGAGGAAAAUAAGGAACAAUAUAUGUAAAACACUAUUUUCUAAUCUGUUGUCUAGCUUCAUGAGAUUUCAGUGGUACCUGCUCUCCAUUAGUUGCAUAAAAGAGAGGACAUUGAUAAGUAAGUUUUAAGAAAGACCAAGUUUAACAGCAUUUGUAGGCAUCUAUAUUUGUGAAUUUUAAGAUGCCCAAGACAGGAUAAAUGUUAGUGCACAUUGUUCUGCAAAACUUGUUCUAUUUAUUUGAGAGUUAGUAAAACAUUCUGAACUGUUUUAAUGAAAAGAUACCUUUUGAUAUGAAUGCUGACUGCUAGCAUCUAUUAGUUUGUAUCUCACUAAGGUCCUGUGUUGAAUCCCCCAAGGUCAUUGUGCUUGCUAAAGCAUUUGGGGUGGUCAUUAAGUAAUAAAGAUAAAUUUCUUGUGGAUGGGAUUAUUGGAGCACCAAAAUGGCCCAGUGGGUAAAGGUGUUCUUUCCACCUGAUGAUUCAUGAAAACAUAAUGGUCUGAUUUCUCUCCCCAAAAGCCACAUCAACAUGGAAAGGGAGCACUAGUUCCACAUAGUUGUCCUCUGAUAAACACAUGCAUCCCAACAUGAAUGACACAUACCUCCAUAACCAAUAAGAAUAAAUGCAUUUUAAAAAUAAUAAGGAAUAAUGUAUUUUUGAAAGAGGGGACAUUAAAUUUUUGUGCCCCUUCUACAAAGUCAGGCACAGGAAAGUGCCACCCAUGAUCAGGAAACCCUCACCAAUCAUGAAAUUUAGCAGCACUUUGAUUUUGAAUUUCUCAGCAUUCAGAGUUGUCGGACAAAUUUUCUGGUAGGCAAAUGUUACUCAAUCUGUGGAAUUUCCAACAGAAAAUUCUACUUCAAUUAUCAAAACAAUCUCAUUAACAUCAUUACUAUUGCUCAUUUUUGUUCAUAUACUGACGUAAUUGAAUGUCAGUCAUGAGUUCUGCACUGAGUAAGGAAAUGUGAGUUGCUUUAGGUACCAGGUACUAGACAAUGAAGAAUGGAAAAGGCAUGGCAUGGGCAUGUACAACAUUUAUUAACAUGAUCACCCUGAGAAUACAAGCUUGUUUUGCCGUAAUCACUCCAAGUCCAUACAAAAUUUUUGACCCCAUAUAUUUCCUUUGAAUUGUUUUCAGCACUUUCACUAUUGCCAAAAUGAGUGAUAUUCAUUGCUAUUCUAAAUUUAUUCUUUUAAAUUGUGCUCAUGCUCUUCUGUUCCUGUCUUCUCAAGACACUGAGCAUAGUAGCCUCAUGGGGCAGGGAAAAUGGGGAUUUGGGAGAGAAUAUUAGGAGAGAUAAUUAAAACUUAAGGCCCAUUUGAGUGGCAGUAUGGAAACCUAAUACAACAGAAACUUCCUAAAAUAUAUACAUGUUUGAUUGUAAUCUAAAUGAAAUUAGCAAAUAAUGGGGGACAUAGGAAGUACAGUUUCCAUCCUCCCUCUCUUCAAAUGGAUUCUCAGAGCUUGACUUGAGGCUUGGUUGUGGAUCUCUGCAUCUGAUUCCAUCAAUUAUUGGAUGAAGACUCUAUGAGAAGGAAGAGGGAAUAUAUGAACAAGGGAUAUGUUUCACUACCUUUUGUACAGAAAGGUACUAUCGCUGCUUCCACAAGAGAAGAGUAAAUACAAAGCCAUUCACAAUUCCUUUAUCUACAAUGAUGUCCUACCUGCAAAGUAUGUGAGGGAAAUGGUGGCAAAAAUCUUGUGGAUGUAACCAACCAAUAUUUGACUUGACUUUAGGAACACUAGACAAAAUGGAAUCCAUACCUGACACUAACUGAGUGACCAAGAACCUGAAACAAGAUAGCCCAAGGGCCCAUGGUAAUACCGAAUAGUAGUGGUCCAAAAAAUGAGGAAGGGGGAAUAUAAUGAUAAAAUGACUCCUAAUGAUAUUCUGAAAUAUGCAUAGAUCAGUACCUUGUUCAACCAUCAUCACAGAAUAUCUACCACCUCAUAUGGGAACCGAUAUAUAGACAACCUCAACCAGAUAUUACACACAGUGCAAGACACUUAGGAACACUCAACCCUAAGAGGAAUGUAUCCAUCAAAUCCCUCCCUUCUAUGUCCACAAAGUCCCACAGAAGAGGAGACAUUAAGAAGUGUGAGAACAGAAAAGGAUGGAGGAUUCCAAGAAAACAAAACCCUCUAAAGCAACAUGAGAAAAGCUCAAAUGAACUCACAGAGACUGAAGCAACAUCCACAGGGGCGGCAUGGGGUCUGCAACACAUCCUGUGUGUUUUUAUUUGGGUUUCCAGUUUAGUGAUUUUACUGGAUUCCUGAGUGUGUGAACAAGUGCAUCUAUUAUCCUUGUGCCUUCUUUAGGGCUCUUUUCCUUCUAUUGAGUUAUCUUUUCCAACUUCAAUGAGGUAGAUUAUUUUUAAAUCUUCUUAUAUGUUAUAGUGCUGUAUUUAGAAAUGAAUGAAUAAAUGAAUGAAUGAACCAGUGAGUAAGUGAGUGAGUGAGUGAGUGAGUGAGUGAGUGGGUGAGUUACUGAACGAGUGAGUAAAAACCUAGCUAUUAGAGUAAAGGUUAAUGACAGAACUGUCAUUUAUACUUGAUGGGAGAGGGACACCAAUUUUCUCCAAUGGAGUGACAUUGAGUAUUUCAAUCACUCAUGUUCAGGAAUAGCUGUCUAAUAUAUAAUGAACCAAAUGGUGUAUUAUUUUGUGCUUUUAUUUGAUUACAGUUUGAUGUUAUUUUUGUUUUGUGGUGUUUUUAUUUUAUUUUCUUGGUUUGGGAGGAAUUUGCUAUUGUUUUUGUUAUUUAUUUAUUUAUUUAUUUAUUUAUUUAUUUAUUUAUUCUUGCCAAAAAACUUGAAGUUGGAUGGGUAGGGAGUGAGAGAGGAUCUGGCAGGACUUCGAGAAGGGAAAUAAUAAGAUCAAAGUAUAUUUAAAUUUCAAGAUUAUUUCAAAUAAUAGAAAAUGCAAUAAAAAGAAAAGAAUGCUAACUACUUGAACUAAAUCUACUCAGAUUCAUUUUUUAUAAGCUUUAGUUUUCAGUGUCCCAAUAGGUCUGCUGACUUCAUUUCUUCAACCUUUCCUGAUUGUCAAGUUCAGCAAUAACCCAUCUGCAAUUUCUUUCAUCCGGCAUGGUCUCCAAAGAGCACCAUCUACUCAGGGUCUCAUAUUCUGAAGCACACACUCUAAUUAUCUAGAUACAUUUGUCUUUGAAAUCACUUUCAAAGGUCUGCCCAAAAGUCAUUCUGUAUUUUUGAUAUUGUAUAUUCCUAAACUGUGUUUUGAAUGUUCUAAUUUUCUUAGUAACAAAAUCAAGACUUUGCUAUUUUUAAGUUAUGCUUUUAAAUGUCCCCUUUAAAAGCUUGAUUAAAAAUUAGGCUGUUAAUUGAGAUUCAUUAUUUCCUUAAAUUUAAUAAGCUCUAAUCUAAGAAUAUUUAAAAAAUGGUACUGCUUGUGCAACGAAGUAUUUGAAUAUUAAUUCUGCUACUAAAAUAUAUGUUUUGAUCACUGUUGUUGAAAAAAUCUAACAUACCAACGAAUCCCACUUUAGCAGAAUUUCAUAAAUGAUGAUUCAUAUUCCUUUAGCAAAAUCCUAUUUGCAAUAAUUCUUAUAUUUAAAAUAAAAUUUCUAUAAAUGUUAGGACAUAUGGGGGUUAAAGCAUCAGGUCACCUGUUAAGAAAAGUUUAUUGCUUUUGAUAGAACCCAGAUUUCUUUCCCAGCAUGCUUAUGGUGGCUCAUGGCUUCCGAUAACUUCAGUUUUAGGAGAUCUGAUGUCUUCUUCUAACCUCCAUGGGCACCAGGUACACACAUAGUUCACAUGAAUACAGGCAGGCAAAAUAAAUUUAUACACAAAAUAAUUUUAACUAAUCAACAAAACUCCUCAGCUCUACAAAUCUAUGUAUAUAUGAUUAUAAUACCAGACACUUCAUGUACUUCGAUUGUUAGAAUUCUUUUAGAAUGUGUGGAAUUAUUUAGCACCAGUAAACAAUAGUAAAAAAACAGUGAAAAAGGAAAUAUGGUCAUCCUUAGAGGGUAAGGUAAGAUUUAUUUUAUAAGUUCAUACCUAAUAAUUUUGACCUGUUAUUUUUCAUGCAGAAUGAAUGUUCAUUUUCCUUUUUCAUAUAUCUUGCUUAUAAUAGUUUUUGUUUUGUCACAUGUUUCUCAG
RNAcentral lists this long non-coding RNA (5655 nucleotides) under Cricetulus griseus (Chinese hamster). RNAcentral describes it as "lncRNA (ENSCGRG00015039255.1)". Lineage: Eukaryota; Metazoa; Chordata; Mammalia; Rodentia; Cricetidae. The record is from RNAcentral.